CUCGUCAAAGUCCUCCGACAGCUCCGACCUGACCAGCUUGGUCUUGUACACUGUGGAGGAGGGGCAGCGUGGGUCAUGGGCCGGUUGACCAUGGACGGGGUGGGGGGCACCUUCACCUGCACAUGCACCUGGGCAGGUGUGGCUGCCUCCCCACCCCACACGGAGACGGAGGGAUCUCGGCCCGGCACCGGGCAGUGCGCCCUCCUGGGAACAUACAAUCACACGUGGUCACUCAGUCACCAUCCCACAGUCAUGCGCAAUUCCAGCCGCCCACACGGGGAGUCACACACACAAGGUCGGCUGCUCAGAUGCACAGCUGUCCACAGCACAGUCUUGUCCAGCCAUGGCCAAGUGCAGCUUGCCCUCUGGCAGCCCCCACACAAGUGUGCCCGCAGCUGCAGCCGCCCAAGACGCCAGCCACGUCCAGAACUCCAGCUACUCCAGCUCCCUGUCGUCCACAACCAAAGCCUCGCACAGCUCAAACCUCAGUCCCAUACACCUUGACAGCUACUCCCGUCCACUGUCACCCCUGUCACAGGCAGCCAUACACAGUGGCAGCCAGCCACAGCUACUCCCAUGCUCAGCCAUCUACAUCCACAGCCUCACACCUCGCUGAGCAGAGGCCUCACGCCCACCUUCUUCACACUCGGCCAUGGUGACCAUGGUUCCCCACAAGACCACGGCCCCCACCACACAUCCUCACGCAGCAAGCCACCCGCAGCCUGCAGGACCACCGUCCUCACGCCCGCUCCGUCCCGCUCACCAUAGUCCACUCCGGGCUCGCAGGCCUUGUCCAGCCGGUCAUUCAGGGUGACGUCGUCCUGCUGCUGCAUGAAGCAGUUCUCUGCAGGGUGGGGGUGGAGACUCGGGGUGAGCCCCACUUGCUGCCCAGGGCUGUGGCUGGCCCCAGGGCCUGUCCUUCCUGGCAUCCCCAGGGCUGGGCUUCAGGGCCCCUUGGGACUCCCCAUGGGGCGGGGUGUCCAGGUGGGUGUGGCCCACUCAGCCCACCCCUGGCUGGCUCCAGGGACCCACCCUCAGCACAGCGGCACAUGUCCUUGUGGCACAGCUUGCUCAGCAUUCCGUCCUCCUUCUCCGGGUGGUAGAACUGGGUGCAGGUCUCCUCUGCAGGGGGAGGUGAUGGCGAGGGGCUCAGAGGCACAGACCUCCACCCCAGAGACCACGCCUGGCAGGCUCAGAUUCCCAGCGCCCAAGUCCCUCAGGCCUGCAGCUGCUAGGCCCCUACCCUCAAUUCCUGAGACUCUCUGACCUUCUGAUCUUUGGGACCCUCAGGCUCUAGGAACUUCAAACCUCCAACCUGAAAAUCCUCAGGACCCUCCAUUCCCCAGCCCUCAGAUCCCUAAGUCUCAGAUCCUGGGACUCUCAGAAUCUCGACUUGUGAAUUGUUGGGACCCUCAGCUCCCUGACAGCUCACACAUCCAUGGGACCCUCAGACUCGGGACUCCUGGAACCCCAACUCACAGGCCCCCAGGGCCCGAAGGCCUCUGGAACCAUCCAUCUCCCGACCCUCAGUCCCUGACUCCGAGAGCCCCAGCCCAGCUUGGCGGCUCACCCAGGUUGUAAUAGGAGUAGACCUUGACGGAUCCGGGCUGGAGGAGCCCCACGUUGAAGUACUGGUGAACUUUGAAGGACAGACAGUCUUCCUCCGUGUGUGAGAUCUGAGAGGAAGGAGGCGAAGGAUGAAGUCCCUCCCUCAUCAGAUGCCAAACAGUUGAGGCCACCAAUCUUGGAUUUCCAGUCUCUGAGACUAUGAGCUCAAAAGAAUGGAUUCUGCAAAGGACUCCAACAUCCUAGGGAUUAAUGGCCACAAGGUUGGACUUCAACUUUUGGACUCAAGGGACUUUCCUGCCUCCACCUACUGAAUAUAUGGGACUACAGGUACAUACCACCGACUGUGCCUGGCUCCAGAUGAACUUUACACAGGCCCUGUCUCCUCCAGCCUGGGGCACAAAGGUCAAGGCAGAAGAAAAGGGCAGCCAGAUAGGGGUCCAGCUGUCUGUGGAAGCCUCCCAGGGGAGCUUGUAGGCUUACCUUGUCCAAGUAGAUGAUGAGGGUGUUCUUGUGGGAGAAGGCUUUGUUCAGCUCGUACUUGGAGAUGUAUCUGUCCACACCGGUGCUCAGCUGGGGAAGGGUGGGGCUUGUGAAGAUCCCUCCUUGAGCCUGGCUCUCCCUGCAGCCUCUUCCCCAUCCCAGCCCCUGAUCCCUUCAUACCAGUUCCAGGUCAUUUGUGUCAGGAACGAAGCCUGUCAUCAUGGAUAUAUCCAGGAUGGACAUUGUGGCAUCCUGUUCUCCCAGGUACCUGGAUAAGGCAGAGAGAAGGUUGUUGGAGCCCAGGGGUCUGUGCCUGAUCAGGGUUCGAGGCCUCUGAUGCCCACCCAGCAUCCUAGAGAGAUGUUUAAUUUUAGGAAGCACUUCCCCAAAAGCAAAAAAGGAACUGUGUAAUGGGCAAGGUCAUGAAGAUCUCAGAUUCUGGACCCAAUUGCGUGGGUUCAGAUCCCAGCUCUGUGUAACAUUGGAUGAGUUACUUGACCCUUCUGUGCCUCAGUUCUUCUUGAGAAUGACAAGAAUACGGGCAGCCCUUACUUUGUAUGACUCAGCUGCUCUGGUUCAGGGAAAUAACCUCCAGUGACAUGGUUCAAAUCACAGUACCUCAAUACAAUAAUCAUACUUGCACACGGUACAAACCUUGUUGCUAGCUUGUCAACCACAGAUUACUACGUAAAUAACAGGUGAGAAUGGUAAUCAAUGAUCGAUCACAGGACUCCUUUGAAAGCCUGCCUGUGACUGAUCACUGAGCAUCCAUAAUUCAAGUCAUGCACAGACAGCAAAGCAUGUAGCUGUGUUGCUUCUCUUUCCUCCUGAUCAACCCACAUGACGCUUUACCAAAAUGGGUCCUCAGAAGAGGGAACUGGCCAACAAAAAUGAACUGGCAGCACAGAAAUGAAAAGAUGGUGCUGGAAGUGAAUUCCAACUAGAGCAGAAGGCUGGCAGAUGCCGAGAAGGUCGACCCUGCUGCCAUUGGAGUCAGCAAGAGUGAGGAAGGGGGUAGUGACAGAAAGGAGGCCAGUGUCCCAGAGGAGGCAAUGCUGCGAAGGAUCAGCUUCACGGGAAAGGGACUCUUGGAGGAACCGCAUGGCUUUGAAAGCUGGAAGGAUAAAAUGGGAGUGGAUCUGAACUCUGAAAGGAGCAUGCGAGGCAUGAUGGAACAGAAGAAGGCUUACUCCAGACGCGGAGAACAGUGUUCACCAAGAAACAGCUAAGGCGGGCGUGCUGGCCGUGCCCGUGACCCCGGCUGCUUGGGAGGCCGAGGCAGGAGGAUCACAAGCUCAAGGCCAGUCUUGGCAACUUAGCCAGAUCCUGUCUCAAAAUCAACUUUAG
This is a long non-coding RNA of Sciurus carolinensis (gray squirrel), 3396 nucleotides long. RefSeq lists it as uncharacterized. The transcript has 5 exons. The record is from RefSeq and is a predicted model, not a curated record. NCBI's taxonomy places the organism in Eukaryota, Metazoa, Chordata, Mammalia, Rodentia, Sciuridae.